RNAcentral lists this long non-coding RNA (2169 nucleotides) under Ananas comosus (pineapple). Its description in RNAcentral is "long non-coding RNA (ACOM_LNC039817)". Lineage: Eukaryota; Viridiplantae; Streptophyta; Magnoliopsida; Poales; Bromeliaceae. The record is from RNAcentral.
GAGAGUUUAAAUUUGUAACUUAUCGAUGUCAACGUUCACAAGAACCAAAACCGGAACAACAUUAGACUACUCAGUUGCGCCCUAACAGUAUAACUUUGCAACGAGUACUUUUUCUCAUUCUAUCGAACAAAGAGUAAAACCUAAUUAUAUUGUUCUAUUAUACCCCGAGAGUGUAAAUUUUUAACUUAUCGAGGUCAACGUUCACAAGAACCAAAGCCCAACCAACAUUAGACUACUCAGUUGCGCCCUAACAGCAUAACUUUGCAAUAAGUACUUUUUCUCCUCCAACCGAAUAAAGAGAAAAACCUAAUUAUAUUGUUCUAUUUUACCCUGAGAGAGUAAAUUUGCAACGUAUCAAUGUCAACGUUCACAAAAAUCAAAACCGGACCAACAUUAGACUACUCAGUUGCGCCCUAACAGCAUAACUUUGCAAUAAGUACUUUUUCUCCUCCAACCGAAUAAAGAGAAAAACCUAAUUAUAUUGUUCUAUUUUACCCUGAGAGAGUAAAUUUGCAACGUAUCAAUGUCAACGUUCACAAAAAUCAAAACCGGACCAACAUUAGACUACUCAGUUGCGCCCUUACAAUAUAACUUAAUUAUAUUGUUCUAUUAGACUUUUUCUCAUUCAAUUGAACAAAGAGUAAAACCUAAUUAUAUUGUUCUAUUAUGCCCCGAGAGUAUAAAUUUGCAGUGUAUCGAUGUCAACGUUCACACGAACCAAAAUGGUACAAACAUUAGACUACUAGUUGUGCCCUAACAGUAUAACUUUGCAACGAGUACUUUUUCUCAUUCAACCGAACAAACAGUAAAACCUGAUUAUAUUGUUCUAUUAUGCCCCGAGAGUAUAAAUUUGCAACGUAUCGAUGUCAACGUUCACAAGAACCAAAAUCGGAACAACAUUAGACUACUCAGUUACGCCAUAACAGUAUAACUUUGCAAACAGUACUUUUUCUCAUUCAAUCGAACAAAGAGUAAAACCAACUUAUAUUAUUCUAUUAUACCCCGAGCAUGUAAAUUUGCAACUUAUCGAUGUCAACGUUCACAAGAACGAAAACCGGAAGAACAUUAGACUACUCAGUUGCGCCCUAACAACAUAACUUUGCAAACAGUGCUUUUUCUCAUUCAAUCGAACAAAGAGUACAACCUAAUUAUAUUGUUCUAUUAUCGCCCGAGAGUGUAAGUUUGCAACGUAUCGAUGUCAACGUUCAUAAGAAUCAAAACCGGAAAAAUAUUAGACAACUCAGUUGCUCCCUAAUACUAUAACUUUACAAAGAGUACUUUUUCUCAUUCAACCGAACAAAGAGUAAAACCUAAUUAUAUUGUUCUAUUAUGGCCCGAGAGUGUAAAUUUACAAGGUAUCGAUGUCAACGUUCAAAAAAACCAAAACCGGACAAAAAUUAGACUACUCAGUUGCUCCCUAACAGUAUAACUUUACAACGAGUACUUUUUCUUCUUCAACCGAACAAAGAGUAAAAUCUAAUUAUAUUAUUCUAUUAUGACCCGAAAGUGUAAAUUUGCAACGUAUCGAUGUCAACAUUCACAAGAAACGAAACCGAAAAAAUUUUAGACUACUCAGUUGCUCCCUAACAUUAUAACUUUGCAACGAGUACUUUUUCGCAUUCAAUCAAAAAAAGAGUAAAACCUAAUUAUAUUGUUCUAUUAUGCCCCGAUAGUGUUAAUAUGCAAUGUAUCGAUGUCAACGUUCACAAGAACCAAAACCAGAACAACAUUAGACUUCUCUAUUACGCCCUAACAGCUUAACUUUGCAAACAGUACUUUUUCUCAUUCAAUCGAACAAAGAGUAAAACCAAAUUAUAUUAUUCUAUUAUGCCCCUAGAAUGUAAAUUUGCAACGUAUCGAUGUCAACGUUCACAGAAACCAAAACGGGAAGAACAUUAGACUACACAAUUGCGCCCUAACAGCAUAAUUUUGCAAUGAGUACUUUUUCUCCUUCAACCGAACAAAGAAUAAAAGCUAAUUAUAUUGUUCUAUUAUGCCCCGAGAGUGUAAAUUUACAAUGUAUCGAUGCAAACGUUCACAAAAACCAAAACCGGAACAACAUUAGACUACUCAGUUGCACCCUAACAAUAGAACUUUGCAAACAGAGCUUUUUCUCAUUCAAUCGAACAAAGAGUAAAAUCCAAUUAUAUUAUUCUAUUAUACCCCGGG